This 254-nucleotide ribosomal RNA is filed under the name uncultured bacterium. Its description in RNAcentral is "partial 16S ribosomal RNA". It matches the Rfam family "Bacterial small subunit ribosomal RNA", at positions 524 to 776 of the family's 1533-position model. The record is from RNAcentral.
UACGAAGGGGGCUAGCGUUGUUCGGAAUCACUGGGCGUAAAGCGCAUGCAGGCGGAUCGUUAAGUCGGGGGUGAAAUCCCGAGGCUCAACCUCGGAACUGCCUUCGAUACUGGCGAUCUUUGAGUCCGGGAGAGGUGAGUGGAACUGCGAGUGUAGAGGUGAAAUUCGUAGAUAUUCGCAAGAACACCAGUGGCGAAGGCGGCUCACUGGCCCGGUACUGACGCUGAGAUGCGAAAGCGUGGGGAGCAAACAGG